This 234-nucleotide ribosomal RNA is filed under the name uncultured bacterium. Its description in RNAcentral is "partial 16S ribosomal RNA". It matches the Rfam family "Bacterial small subunit ribosomal RNA", at positions 97 to 334 of the family's 1533-position model. The record is from RNAcentral.
GGCGCACGGGUGAGUAAUGCAUAGGUAACGUGCCCCUUAGUCUGGGGAUAGCCACUGGAAACGGUGAAUAAUACCGGAUACUCCUUCUCUAUUAAUUAGAGUUGGGAAAGUUUUUCGCUAAGGGAUCGGCCUAUGUCCUAUCAGGUAGUUGGUGAGGUAAGAGCUCACCAAGCCUAUGACGGGUAGCGGGUCUGAGAGGAUGAUCCGCCACACUGGUACUGAGACACGGACCAG